RNAcentral lists this ribosomal RNA (254 nucleotides) under uncultured bacterium. Its description in RNAcentral is "partial 16S ribosomal RNA". It matches the Rfam family "Bacterial small subunit ribosomal RNA", at positions 524 to 777 of the family's 1533-position model. The record is from RNAcentral.
UACGAAGGGGGCUAGCGUUGCUCGGAAUGACUGGGCGUAAAGGGCGCGUAGGCGGAUUGCUUUGUCGGGCGUGAAAUUCCAGGGCUUAACCUUGGGGCUGCGUUCGAGACGGGUGAUCUUGAGUGGGGAAGAGGGUCGUGGAAUUCCCAGUGUAGAGGUGAAAUUCGUAGAUAUUGGGAAGAACACCGGUGGCGAAGGCGGCGACCUGGUCCUUUACUGACGCUGAGGCGCGAAAGCGUGGGGAGCAAACAGGG